RNAcentral lists this ribosomal RNA (300 nucleotides) under uncultured Bacillus sp. RNAcentral describes it as "partial 16S ribosomal RNA". It matches the Rfam family "Bacterial small subunit ribosomal RNA", at positions 496 to 795 of the family's 1533-position model. The record is from RNAcentral. Lineage: Bacteria; Bacillati; Bacillota; Bacilli; Caryophanales; Bacillaceae.
GGAAAGUAGCUGGCGGGAGCGGCGUUAAUAGGAAGUGGGCAAGCUUGAAUUGGAAGUACUUGGAGGAAAGGGUGCGUAGGUGGUGCGGUAAGUCUGUCGUGAAAUCCCCGGGCUCAAGCUGGGAAUGGCGAUGGAUACUGGCGAGCUAGAGGGUGUCAGAGGAUGGUGGAAGUCCCGGGGUAGCGGUGAAAUGCGUAGAGAUCGGGAGGAACAUCAGUGGCGAAGGCGGCCAUCUGGGACAACACUGACGCUGAAGCACGAAAGCGUGGGGAGCAAACAGGAUUAGAUACCCUGGUAGUC